AAUCUUUUUUACUUUUGAGGCGGAUGAGGAGGUUGAAUAGAUGAUCGUGGUUGCAAAAAUUUGUGUACACGUUAUGGGUACAAGCAUUGAUUUUAUAUUUCUCUCUACAUAUGUGAUUACUUGUAU
Non-coding RNA from Apis mellifera (honey bee), 126 nucleotides. Lineage: Eukaryota; Metazoa; Arthropoda; Insecta; Hymenoptera; Apidae. The record is from RefSeq and is marked provisional.